AGGGCACGCAGGCUGGAGGCGCGCCGGCGUGAUUCCGACCGCGGGAGCCGGGAGGAGGAGCCGGAGGUGGCUGCGGGGGGCUCCGGCCCAGGCGUAGGAAGGGCAAGAGGCGGUUCGGGCCGGGGGCGGUGCCAGGAGGGAGGUUGUCCAUGCAACAAAGAGGGGCAUGAUGGAUGCUGAAAUAAGCGCUUUUUGCAACAAGAAAGAAAUAUGAACUCAAAGGGAGCCACCAGCAGAAUUUCUCUUCUCUGGCCUUCAUUCACAAAGUUUGAAGAGGCUUGUCUGGUGGCUGUGUGAAGCAGGCCAGUGAAGGAAUCUCUCUGGAUCUGUUCUCACCUGGGUGAGCUGAGGAUUCCAGAGUCCACACGCGUGCGCACCCGUGUGUAUGAAUAUGUAAAUUUCCACCCUGUAGGAGUAAAUCGAGACCUGGCUAAGAAUGCACAGUCCACCAGGAGUGCUGGACCGGUGUUGUCUUUCUUAUAGAACUAUUUACUUUUCUAAAACUAUUUUUAGUUAUGUGUAGGUGUGUGUGCACCUAGUUUUAAUUAUGUGUCUGUAUGUGGGCAGGUGCAUAGGAAUGCAGGUGAAGCAGGCCAGAGGCGUGGGAUGCCCUGUAGCUGAAGUUACAGAUGGUUGUGAGCUACCUAAUGUGUGUCCUGAGAUCUGAACUCUGGUCCUUUGGAAGGGCAGCAAGUGCGCUUAACCACUGAACCAUCUCCCCAGCCCUUGCGUUUCUUUUUGCUGUUGUUGUUUAGGAUUAACCCAGGGCUUUCCCCAUGCUAGGCAAGAGCAAGAGGACAAUGCUCUCUAUUUUAACUCUGAAGAUGCAUGCAGUGUGGACGGAAACAGUGGGCUUCAUGGUCAAGGUCCUGACAACAGUGUCAGCCAUGUAGGUAGAUGGGAUGUAGGUAGAGACACAAUACAUAGAGACAGAGUCUGCAGGGACCCACAGGCUUGGUCUUUUCCCUGGAGUGUCUCUGCAGGAGAGGACAGGACAGGCUGUUUCUCUUGGCCAUCGGGAGCCCAUGAACUGGAAAGGGGAAAUGUCUUGGCAAGGAACUAUAAAAUAAUCCAGAGACACCGGGCAGUGGUGGCACAUGCCUUUAAUCCUAGCACUUGGGAAGCAGAGGCAGGUGGAUCUCUAAGUUCAAAGCCUGGUCUACAGACUGAGUUCCAGGACAGCCAGGGCUACACAGAGAAAUCUUGUCUCAAAAAACCAAACAAAACAACAACAACAUAAAAGCCCACAAAUCCUGUUCAGAAAGGUUUUAGUAACUUGACAGUAAUCCCACAGCCAGCAGUGGUAUAUGGACACUUAAGUCCCAGUGACCUUGGCAUCACUCUAAUUGCCUCUUGCUACACAACAGAAAAAAAAAAAGUAGUUAUUAUAUAGUCUCAUAAUGAUUGAUCCUAGCAAGAAUGACUGCUCUAUUUAGUCCUUGACAUAGUUCUCUAACUUGGGGCCAGACCAGGGCCUCCUAAAGAGUUCUUAGAAAACACCAUCCUUUUAGGACCAAAAUCCCCACUAGUCCUUGGGUUUCCCCUAGUUUUGUGUUACUGUCUAAGGCUAACCUUGAAAGUAUUAACAAAAUGAUAAUUGUGAAGCUGAUUUUAAUUCCUUAAUCAUUAUUAAAAAGUCUCACAAACCACUCAUUAACUUUCUUGCUGGGAAAAAAAAUGAGAAAGGGCUGUGGAGAAGGCCCCAUUUGUUGUUGUUGUAAUAAUGUUGUUUGUUGUUGUUCUAUUUGUUGAAGGCCUCAUGGUAAUGGCCAGUCUAGGUGCUGUGGACACAGCUCAAAUGAAAGAGUCAUAAAUGUCCAGUCGCUUGGUACCUAUUUUCUGAAGGACAGAGAUACACAGCUUAAUUAAACAAAUAUGCAGUUCAUUUAGCCAGGCAUAUGGUUCACACCUAUAAUCUCAGCACUUGGGAAGCUGAGGCAGGAGAAUUACCAAGAGUUUAAAAAAUUAGCCUGGACUUCAGAGUAAAUUCAACUCAGCCAAGACAGCAAAAUGAGACUACAGACUGAGUGGAAUUACUCUCCACCCACCCAUCCCCGCAAAAAAAAAAAAAAAAAAAAAAAAAAAAAAAAUGGGAAAGGAGAAAGAAGAAAAAUUUUAAUUGUAUCUUAGUUUUAAUUAGGUAUAUGAGUGUGCCUGUGUGUGGAUAUGUGUGUGUGUGCAAGGUGCCUGUGGAGACCGGAAGAGGAGAGAGAUGCUCCAGAGCUGGUUACAGGCUUUGUCAGCCGCUUGACUGAAAUGCCAGAACUCCCGUCCUCUACAAGAGCAAUAUGCGCUCUUAACUGCUGAGCCAUCUCUCUGACACUGAAAAAAAAAAAAGCAAACCUUUUUUUAAGGUAGGAACUCACUAAAUAAUCAAGUGUGAGCCCAGACUAGCCUCAGACUCUACUGUGUAGCCCAGGCUGGCCUCAAAUUCUCUGCAACCCUUAUGUCUCAGACUCUCAAAUGCUGGGGUUGCAGGUAUGUUUGAAGAUAAUUAAGUGCUAAGGUAAAAAAUAAUAAUAAUAAUAAUUGGAAAUCAGAACAGUAUUAGGGGUACAAUUUUAUUUUUAAUAGAUUUAUUCUUAAUUUAUAUGUAUGGAUGUCUUGCCUGCAUCUAUGUCUAUUUCAUGUAUGCGCAGUGCCUGCGGAGGUGAGAAGGAGGUGUCAGAUCGAGGGGGUGCAGUUUUAAAUUGGAUGGUCUGAGAAGAUGGAAGUUAGGAGUGAGCCGGGACAGGAAGUCUCUACUAAUAACCGCACCUGUGACAUGGUUGCUGGUGGAAAUCACAGGUAUUUUCAUACUCCGUUACAGCUGUUACUAAUAGCCUAAAAUACCAUUACACAUCACUACCUCAAAUUAUGCUGUUCUUGUGACUUAAUAAAGCACACAUUACUGUGUUAUAGGUUUUGAAAAUAUCUUGAUCUCCACAUUUCAAUAUAAUUAGGAUUCUUCACAAUCCAUAGAACCUAUUCCCAGGGCUGCAGGAUGGUGGCUCAUACCAACUAUCCCUACCACCUGUUGGGCUGAUGGAGGAGGAGCAGGAGUUCAAGGUCAUCCUUGACUACAUAGCAAAUUUGAGGUCAGCCUAGGCUGCCUAAGGUCCUGGAUUCAACUCUCAGCAUCCCACUGCAAAAAUAGUAAAGCUGUUAGCCUCCAGAGGAAUUCAUAGGUAUCAGAGUACUUGAGUCCGUGGCACAAACAAAAUUAAAGGGCUAGCAGGCAGGAAGGUGCUCUUCAUAGCGUCCUCUCUGUAAAGGAUGAAAUGUGUAGGGCCUUGUAGGACCUUGUAAGGGAUCUGGCAUUUGCUGGAGUGAGAUGGGGCUUUUGAGCAGAAGAGGGUCAUGAUCUGACACUAGGUUUUACAGGUCACUCGGCUGUCACAUGGGAGAGUAGGCUGAAGCAGGAGCAGCGUUUAGGAUGGAGGAUGCUGCCAUGGACCAGAGUAGUAGCAGUGAGAAUGGCCAAAGUGGCCAGGUUCUUGUAAUGGAAGUUUUGGUGUCUUUAAAAACUCAGUUAUGUUACAUAAACAUGGUUUUGGUUUAAUCCCAGGUGUGGGAUAUUGGGCUGCCCUACAUUGUCCACAACAGCAGACUAUUUGACUGAAGCAGGCUCUGAAAAGGGCGUGAUCUCUGCCAGCUGCAGAUAGUUUAAUUCUGGGGAGGGACCUUGAGGCGGGGGGGAAUAAAUGCCAGAGCCAGGAGAGAGACAGGGGCCUCCAAAAAAGAAGUAGAAGCUGCUGUUUCUCCUCUGCUGCUCCUGGCUGCUGUUGUUACAGUUUCUUGAGAAGAAGUUGGAGAGAUCCUGAAAUGAAGAUUGGACUUUCCCCAAAGAACCCAACGACCCUAACCAGCAGGAAGUAGCUAAAGAGAACUGAGUCCCUCCUUCCCCCUCUAUUGUUGGGGGGGGAGAAUGAAGAAUAAGAACCCAAAUAAAAUAGAUUUUAAAAUAUAUGUGCUACAAGUUCUGUAUGUAUUUUAACAGAAUUUGCUGAUUGAAGAGAGAGAGAGGGGAGUUGAAAAAAUCAGAAGGCCUGGUGAGACCCCAUAGCAGGCACUUUCCACUAACUCCUACUACCCAAGCUUAAUUUCCCAAAUUACCCGGAGGAGUGAGAGAAUCAGCUCCUGCAUGUUGUCCUCUGACUUUCACACACAUGAUGUAGCAUGUGUAAGCCUAUGCAUACCCCCACACACCCUCAUACAUACAAACAAAUACAAUAU
Long non-coding RNA from Meriones unguiculatus (Mongolian gerbil), 4215 nucleotides. RefSeq lists it as uncharacterized. The transcript is spliced from 4 exons. The record is from RefSeq and is a predicted model, not a curated record. NCBI's taxonomy places the organism in Eukaryota, Metazoa, Chordata, Mammalia, Rodentia, Muridae.